AAACGGGGAGCUUUUUUGAAAGGCUGAGAGGAAGCGUGAGGCUUCGACCCAUUUACCUGAUUUGGAUAAUGCCAACGUAGGGAUUAUA
RNAcentral lists this non-coding RNA (88 nucleotides) under bovine gut metagenome. RNAcentral's name for it is "TPP riboswitch (THI element)". It matches the Rfam family "TPP riboswitch aptamer (THI element)", at positions 9 to 90 of the family's 105-position model. From Rfam's summary of the family: Vitamin B(1) in its active form thiamin pyrophosphate (TPP) is an essential coenzyme that is synthesised by coupling of pyrimidine and thiazole moieties in bacteria. The previously detected thiamin-regulatory element, thi box was extended, resulting in a new, highly conserved RNA secondary structure, the THI element, which is widely distributed in eubacteria and also occurs in some archaea. Analysis of operon structures identified a large number of new candidate thiamin-regulated genes, mostly transporters, in various prokaryotic organisms. The record is from RNAcentral.